RNAcentral lists this ribosomal RNA (254 nucleotides) under uncultured bacterium. RNAcentral describes it as "partial 16S ribosomal RNA". It matches the Rfam family "Bacterial small subunit ribosomal RNA", at positions 524 to 776 of the family's 1533-position model. The record is from RNAcentral.
UACGGGGGGAGCAAGCGUUGUUCGGAUUUACUGGGCAUAAAGGGCGCGUAGGCGGCCACCGCAAGUCGACUGUGAAAUCUCCGGGCUUAACCCGGAAAGGUCAGCCGAUACUGCGGGGCUAGAGUGCAGAAGGGGCAACUGGAAUUCUCGGUGUAGCGGUGAAAUGUGUAGAUAUCGAGAGGAACACCUGCGGCGAAGGCGGGUUGCUGGGCUGACACUGACGCUGAGGCGCGAAAGCUAGGGGAGCGAACGGG